RNAcentral lists this ribosomal RNA (207 nucleotides) under uncultured bacterium. Its description in RNAcentral is "partial 16S ribosomal RNA". It matches the Rfam family "Bacterial small subunit ribosomal RNA", at positions 568 to 774 of the family's 1533-position model. The record is from RNAcentral.
CGCGUAGGCGGCUCAUACAGUCAGGCGUGAAAUUCCUAGGCUCAACCUGGGGACUGCGCUUGAGACGUGUGGGCUUGAGUGGGGAAGAGGGUCGUGGAAUUCCCAGUGUAGAGGUGAAAUUCGUAGAUAUUGGGAAGAACACCGGUGGCGAAGGCGGCGACCUGGUCCUUGACUGACGCUGAGGCGCGAAAGCGUGGGGAGCAAACA